Molecule: ribosomal RNA, 253 nt
Filed under: uncultured bacterium
Lineage: Bacteria
Description: partial 16S ribosomal RNA
Rfam family: Bacterial small subunit ribosomal RNA
Source: RNAcentral
GACAGAGGGUGCAAACGUUGUUCGGAAUUACUGGGCGUAAAGCGCGUGUAGGCGGCUAAGUAAGUCGGGCGUGAAAUCCCACGGCUCAACCGUGGAAGUGCACUCGAAACUGCAUAGCUAGAGUCCUGGAGAGGAAGGCGGAAUGCUUGGUGUAGAGGUGAAAUUCGUAGAUAUCAAGCGGAACACCGGUGGCGAAGGCGGCCCACUGGAUCGGUACUGACGCUGAGGUGCGAAAGCGUGGGGAGCAAACAGG